GUCUACGGCCAUACCACCCUGAACGCACCUGAUCUCAUCUGAUCUCGGAAGCUAAGCAGGGUUUGGCCUGGUUAGUACUUGGAUGAGAGGGGAAGAUGGUGCACUGCUGAGC
This 112-nucleotide ribosomal RNA is filed under the name Octodon degus (degu). Lineage: Eukaryota; Metazoa; Chordata; Mammalia; Rodentia; Octodontidae. The record is from RNAcentral.